AUAUCAAUAAGCGGAGGAAAAGAAACCAACAGGGAUUGCCCUAGUAACGGCGAGUGAAGCGGCAACAGCCCAGAUUUGAAAUCUGGCCCUUGGGCCCGAGUUGUAAUCUGCAGAUGAGUCUUUUGGCGGAGUGCUAUCCAAGUUCCCUGGAAUGGGACGCCAUAGAGGGUGAGAGCCCCGUACGGAUGGAUGCCGAGCCUUUGUAAAGCUCAUUCGACGAGUCGAGUAGUUUGGAAAUGCUGCUCUAAUUGUGGGGUAAAUCUCCCAUAAGGCUAAAUACCGGCCAGAGACCGAUAGCGCACAAGUA
This 307-nucleotide ribosomal RNA is filed under the name uncultured eukaryote. Its description in RNAcentral is "partial large subunit ribosomal RNA". It matches the Rfam family "Eukaryotic large subunit ribosomal RNA", at positions 40 to 350 of the family's 3401-position model. The record is from RNAcentral.